Molecule: ribosomal RNA, 1346 nt
Filed under: uncultured bacterium
Lineage: Bacteria
Description: bacterial SSU rRNA
Rfam family: Bacterial small subunit ribosomal RNA
Source: RNAcentral
GACGAACGCUGUCGGCGUGCUUAACACAUGCAAGUCGAACGGAAAGGCCCUGCUUUUGUGGGGUGCUCGAGUGGCGAACGGGUGAGUAACACGUGAGUAACCUGCCCUUGACUUUGGGAUAACUUCAGGAAACUGGGGCUAAUACCGGAUAGGAGCUCCUGCUGCAUGGUGGGGGUUGGAAAGUUUCGGCGGUUGGGGAUGGACUCGCGGCUUAUCAGCUUGUUGGUGGGGUAGUGGCUUACCAAGGCUUUGACGGGUAGCCGGCCUGAGAGGGUGACCGGCCACAUUGGGACUGAGAUACGGCCCAGACUCCUACGGGAGGCAGCAGUGGGGAAUAUUGCACAAUGGGCGGAAGCCUGAUGCAGCAACGCCGCGUGCGGGAUGACGGCCUUCGGGUUGUAAACCGCUUUCGCCUGUGACGAAGCGUGAGUGACGGUAAUGGGUAAAGAAGCACCGGCUAACUACGUGCCAGCAGCCGCGGUGAUACGUAGGGUGCGAGCGUUGUCCGGAUUUAUUGGGCGUAAAGGGCUCGUAGGUGGUUGAUCGCGUCGGAAGUGUAAUCUUGGGGCUUAACCCUGAGCGUGCUUUCGAUACGGGUUGACUUGAGGAAGGUAGGGGAGAAUGGAAUUCCUGGUGGAGCGGUGGAAUGCGCAGAUAUCAGGAGGAACACCAGUGGCGAAGGCGGUUCUCUGGGCCUUUCCUGACGCUGAGGAGCGAAAGCGUGGGGAGCGAACAGGCUUAGAUACCCUGGUAGUCCACGCUGUAAACGGUGGGUACUAGGUGUGGGGUCCAUUCCACGGGUUCCGUGCCGUAGCUAACGCUUUAAGUACCCCGCCUGGGGAGUACGGCCGCAAGGCUAAAACUCAAAGGAAUUGACGGGGCCCCGCACAAGCGGCGGAGCAUGCGGAUUAAUUCGAUGCAACGCGUAGAACCUUACCUGGGUUUGACAUGGAUCGGGAGUGCUCAGAGAUGGGUGUGCCUCUUUUGGGGUCGGUUCACAGGUGGUGCAUGCCUGUCGUCAGCUCGUGUCGUGAGAUGUUGGGUUAAGUCCCGCAACGAGCGCAACCCUUGUUCACUGUUGCCAGCACGUUAUGGUGGGGACUCAGUGGAGACCGCCGGGGUCAACUCGGAGGAAGGUGGGGAUGACGUCAAGUCCUCAUGCCCCUUAUGUCCAGGGCUUCACGCAUGCUACAAUGGCUGGUACAGAGAGUGGCGAGCCUGUGAGGGUGAGCGAAUCUCGGAAAGCCGGUCUCAGUUCGGAUUGGGGUCUGCAACUCGACCUCAUGAAGUCGGAGUCGCUAAUAAUCGCAGAUCAGCAACGCUGCGGUGAAUACGUUCCCGGGGCU